UACGGGAGGCAGCAGUGGGGAAUAUUGCACAAUGGGCGAAAGCCUGAUGCAGCUAUGCCGCGUGUAUGAAGAAGGCCUUAGGGUUGUAAAGUACUUUCAUCGGGGAGGAAAAACAAAACUAAUAAUUUUAUUUCUUGACGUUACCCGAAAAAGAAGCACCGGCUAACUCCGUGCCAGCAGCCGCGGUAAUACGGAGGGUGCUAGCGUUAAUCAGAAUUACUGGGCGUAAAGAGCACGUAGGUGGUUUUUUUAAGUCAGAUGUGAAAUCCCCUGGGGCUUAACCUAGGAACUGCAUUUUGAAACUGAAAUACUAGAGUAUCGUAGAGGGAGGUAGAAUUCUAGGUGUAGCGGUGAAAUGCGUAGAUAUCUGGAGGAAUACCUGUGGCGAAAGCGGCCUCCUAAACGAAUACUGACACUGAGGUGCGAAAGCGUGGGGAGCAAACAGGGAUUAGAUACC
Molecule: ribosomal RNA, 457 nt
Filed under: uncultured bacterium
Lineage: Bacteria
Description: bacterial SSU rRNA
Rfam family: Bacterial small subunit ribosomal RNA
Source: RNAcentral